AGUUCUCUCAGAGCCUGUGCAGGAGGCUUCCUUAAUUCGCCUUCAGCCCGAGAGCUGGGCGUGGGAACAGCGUGGGGUCAGGGAGACCCCUGCUUGCCCUGGCCCAGAAUAUGAACCUGGGAUCCUCAUCGCCAAGCAAAAAGCAGAGCAAGGAAAACACCAUCACAAUAAACUGUGUGACGUUCCCUCACCCAGACACGAUGCCGGAACAGCAGCUGCUGAAACCAACCGAGUGGAGCUACUGCGACUACUUCUGGGCUGAUAAGAAGGACCCCCAAGGCAACGGCACUGUGGCUGGGUUUGAACUACUGCUCCAGAAACAGCUGAAGGGCAAACAAAUGCAGAAGGAAAUGUCAGAAUUCAUCCGGGAAAGGAUAAAGAUUGAAGAAGACUAUGCGAAGAACUUAGCUAAGCUCUCUCAGAACUCCUUGGCUUCACAGGAGGAAGGCUCCUUGGGAGAGGCGUGGGCCCAGGUGAAGAAGAGCCUGGCGGACGAAGCAGAAGUUCACCUCAAGUUCUCUGCCAAGCUUCACAGCGAGGUGGAGAAGCCCCUGAUGAACUUCCGUG
This 567-nucleotide small RNA is filed under the name Pan troglodytes (chimpanzee). Its description in RNAcentral is "processed transcript". Lineage: Eukaryota; Metazoa; Chordata; Mammalia; Primates; Hominidae. The record is from RNAcentral.